This 73-nucleotide transfer RNA is filed under the name Canis lupus dingo (dingo). It matches the Rfam family "tRNA". Rfam says of the family: Transfer RNA (tRNA) molecules are approximately 80 nucleotides in length. Their secondary structure includes four short double-helical elements and three loops (D, anti-codon, and T loops). Further hydrogen bonds mediate the characteristic L-shaped molecular structure. tRNAs have two regions of fundamental functional importance: the anti-codon, which is responsible for specific mRNA codon recognition, and the 3' end, to which the tRNAs corresponding amino acid is attached (by aminoacyl-tRNA synthetases). tRNAs cope with the degeneracy of the genetic code in two manners: having more than one tRNA (with a specific anti-codon) for a particular amino acid; and 'wobble' base-pairing, i.e. permitting non-standard base-pairing at the 3rd anti-codon position. The record is from Rfam by way of RNAcentral. Lineage: Eukaryota; Metazoa; Chordata; Mammalia; Carnivora; Canidae.
GCCUGGCUGGCUCAGUCAGUAGAGCAUGCGACUCUUGAUCUCAGGGUCAUGAGUGGGAGCCCCAUGCUGGGUG